CUAGGUUUCUUCACUGGCAUUUCCAGUUGCAGUCUUUGAGUAGUAGUUUAUCUAGAAGGGCUGCGGAAUGCCUCCUGUGGAUUCUGUACCAUGUUAGGUCCUAAAUGCAGACGCAGCCCUUGGUAGGGGCAGGGACUGGUGCGCUGCUCGGAGGGGGUCCCAAGGACCGAGGCGGGAAUACUAGCUCCAGGAUUAGGGAAGGGCCAGGAGGAAUGGAAGUACUUUAUAGUCGGUGGGAGCUGCCUUGUGUCCUUGCCUGUAACCCUGACAUCCUAGAUAUGGGAAGGAUGAAAUGAGAUAACCAGGACCUGGCGCUUAGUAGGCCCUCACCAGGUGCCAGGCACAGAAGCUCAGUGGCAGGCGUGUGCCAAGUUUGGGGCAGCCAGUGGUCAGCAGCCCAGCUGCCCCGUGGCACCAGGGAAGAGGGGAAGGGCCCUGCCGUGGAGUAGGCAGAGCAGGGCCUGGAGGGGCCCUGGGCCAGGGGCCUCAGGCUGAAGCGAGCAUGGCCGAGUGAAGUGCAUGGCCUCUCACUGGAGGGCAGAGGCUGGAACACUGGACAGGGAAGUCCCCACCAGGCCAAGGAUGGCUUGAACAGCUACGGAGUAGGCGGCUCAGGUCAAGGAUCUGGCCACGGCCCAGAGUCCAGGCACUGGACACUUGGGUCUCUGUUGUGUCCCAAUGCUUCCUGGGCCUUGGUUUCCCCAUCUUGACACGGGGCGUUGGUGCUUACCUCUCAGGCAUUGCCAUGGGGUAGGAAGGGGGUGUGAAGCGCCUGUGCUGGGCUUGCAGGUAGUAGGUGCUCAGCCCCUCGGAACGGACGCUGCUGUUGUACACAGAGAAACAGAGCCAGGACCCCAGGCCAGGCCUCCUCUUGCUGUGGCCUCCCUGAGAUGGGACUUGGGACAAAAGGUGGUCGGGACUGCCAUGCCCUGCCCUUUCCAAGCCCACCUUUGUAGGGGGCAGCCAGGGCUCACUCCAGUGGCCCAUGAAGGCUUUAGCCCUGGAGCUGCCCAGCUAGCCCUUCAGGCUCUGGGCCACUUUGCUGGCCUCACAUCCCAGCUCACCUUCCUGCUCUGCAGCCUCAGAGAUGCCCUUCCCUUUCUGAGCCUUGCCAGGUAAAAUGCAGCCCUCUCUGGUCCUCGUGACGACCACCUAAGGUGCUGGGUGCAAAUCCCCAGCACACAGUAGGUGCUCUAUGAACGGUCACACUUGCCUUUACCCCACAGUCUCCAAGCACAGCAGUGAGCUGCGAUUCUCACCUGUGGUGGGCGUUGGCCCCUUUUAAGCCAUUUACUCUGGGGCCAAUUAUAAAUAGACACAUAAUCGCCCCUAUCUAUAGAGAUAAGACAUACUCUUCAGAUGAGCCCGCCCCUCCCCUGCCCCCCUCCACGCUGGCACGCGCUCUCCGCAGUUGAAGGCGAGGGGGGAUCGGGUGCUCCCCUCCCUCCUCCAUCCAUCCAUCCCUCCUCCCCGCUGCUCCUCCAUCUCCACCCUGCAGAGGUGAGAUCGGCAGGGGCCGUGAUGUCAGAGGCUCAGCUGAUGUCACCGCCCCGGCCCUGUGACUUCACUUGCCGGCUUGGGCAGGAGGAGCCGCGAGGAGGCUGAGAGCCGAGAAACUGCCCCCCUUUCCUUUUCCUUCUCCUUUUUUCCCUUUCCCCUCCUCCCCCGCCUCGGCUCAGGAGUUGUUUUCCUCCCCCGUGGUCGCCGGGCUGGCAAGGGGUCUGGGGCAAGGGCCAGGGAAGGAUGCGGCUGCAAAGGUAACGGUGUGCGCGGUGCCUCUCCCGCGGUCGUGAAAGUUUGCUCUGGCGUGCGAGGCGUGCCCGCCGGGUGCUCCGCCGCGCCGCGCUGCCCUGGCCCGAGGCUCCCCGGGGGCGGGCAGGGGCCGCGCCGGGCCAGGGCAGGGCUGGGCAGGGGCCUCCCGGGCGGCCUUUACUGCCUUGUCCCCAUCAAAGGCCGCAGCUGCUCGAGUGGCGGCUGUAGCUUUGAAACUGCCAUAAAGAGCGAUGGAGGGCGGGGAGGCGGGGGAUGUUCAGAGCAGUGCCCAGGAGGGUGGCCGGGAGAGGAGGGGCCCGAGGGGGCUGCUCGGGGAGCGCGGCAGCAGCAGGGGCGUGAAGGGCAGGGCCCCGGGUCACAGUCCCAGGGGCCGAGUGCCCGCCCCCGUCCCCUCCGGUCCAGAUCCAGCCGCGCCCCCGUCCCCUCCGGUCCAGAUCCAGCCGCCGUGCGCAGCCAGCCCGGGUGUGAGGGUGCAGAGCGGCGGGGGGUUGGGGCUGGCUGCUCCCUCUCCCCCCCUCCACUAUUUCCAGGCAUGUUCUUCCACCUCCAGCAGGCCAUUUGUCAGUGGUGAUGCGGGACAAAGGAGGGGCAGUGGGUGGUCUGCUGCGAGUUGGGCGAUGGGCACGGAGCGAGGGCCGAGAGAAACGCCAACAAUGAAGAGGCAGAUCGAGGGCUUUGCUCAUUCAGGCUGUCGAGGGAGCCGUCAUUUUGUGUUAGCGUGUGUGUGUCUGAGGUGGGAGGAGGAAGAGAGCGGAGAAUGACAGGAGAAGGAUUAUGACAUUGUGUUGUCUCUGUUUGUGGUAAAUGCAAAUUUGGCACCAGUGGUUUCCCGGGAAAAGGAGCAGCAAGUAACCCAGGCCGAGGCCCUGGCCCAGACCCACGGAGGGAGCCCGUGCUGGGCGGCGUGGGGCUUUAUUUGGCCCUCCCUUUUUUUCUAUCUGGCGUGUGCUUCUUGCAUUUAUUUUACAGUGAAGAGCUGGAGACAGACAGGCCGGCGAGGCAGGAGGAGCCGGCCCCCUCCUCCCAGGCAUGGCAGCCCCUCCUCAGCUCACCCCGGAGGAGGCCUGGGCAGCUCUCCCAACCCCCAGGCGCUGUCCCAGCUCUCCGGCCUCCCUCCCAGGUCUCUGCCCCCAGCCAGGGUCACCGUUCCAUCAUUCUCUUAGCCUGGGCAGCCUGAGGUCUCUGAAGGCUACUUCUGCCCGCAGCUGCUUCCCAAGCGUGACCAGAGACCGAGAACCUGGGACCGAGGCUGGGAUGGGGCUUUGCAGAACGAAGGCCAGGGCUGGGCGCUCCCCCGGCUACAGUGCUGGCCUGGCUGGCCUGGAGGUUGGCAAACAGCUCUGCAGCCAGGGGCUGUUAGCACAGCCUCCUGGACCUUGACUCCUCUGACGGGCCCAUGAGGGCAAGGGAGCUUGAGCCUGCCCUGGGCCAGGAAGCGGCCAUGGUACAAGUCUCUGGGCUGCCACAGGGCUCAGGCAGGUGCAGUGACAUGGGCGCAGGUGGUCAGUGUGUUUACAGCAGGCCUCCAGAGAGGGCAUGGUGGAGUGAGUUUUACCAGGGCCAGGCCGUAGCUCAGGCCCUAGCAGAGACUGUGAGUUCUAAGCUGAGAAGCCAGGGCAGGAACCAUCUACAGGCAGAAGGUCAGGGGAAGGCUGUGGCUCUCCUUCCAGUCUCCCUUCCCCUGGAGCUGGUCCCUAACCUGACGUCACCACCUCCUCUUUUCUGGUCAAGUCUUCUGGUCUCAAUUCACUUCCUCCAGGAAGCCUUCCCUGUCCUUCUCUCAGGUGGACUUGGGUCCUGUGCCUGGCCCACCUUCUUUGCCCUCUCACAGUCCUGACCACACAGACGUGGGUCUGUCUCCCUGUUAGGCCUUUGGGUGCAGAGCCUGGGUGACCAUCCUUGGUUACAGGGACACUUAAGGCCUCCCCUCUGCACUCCUGGCACCUGCCCAGAGCUGGGCAUAGAGGAGCCCUGUUCCUAGAGCUCAGAGGAACACACCCAGACUCAGACCCCCCAGGAAGUGGGACCACCAGGAUGGAACAGCUGCCCUCUCCCCAUGUCCUAGACGGUGUGAUGGGCUCACUUCCUUUGGGCAAACUCACCCCAAGGGGUUUUUUCCCCACAGAAAUCUUUUCCCUGAGUACCCCUGUGAGGUCUGACAGGGAAAUCAAGAGAGGCUUCACAGAGGAGGUGGCAUUUGAAGGCCUUGAAGAGUGAGUAGGAGUUUGCCGUGCUAAGGCAGGAGAGGGUGUACCAUCAGAGGGAAGUGCAAGAACAGCGCAUCCAAGGUGUAAGAGGCGGGUUGCACUCUGUGGCUGAAGCCGUUGGAAGGGAAGAGUGGGGAGAGGCGGCGACAGUGGAAGUGGGGCCCUUGUUUCACUGGCUGGGGGAGCCACUUGUGGAGGAAGGGAGAACCUGACCUGAUGACAGACUGGGCGGUGCCACAUGGACACCGCAGUCAUUGCAAACUCGCCUUCUUUGGACCCGUUUUCAGGAUCUUGCAAAGCUGGCUUGUUCUAGCUGCUCCCAAGCCAGCCUCUCUCAGGCUGCCUUGUGCUGGGAUUCCCAGAUGGCCUCAGAUUUGAAUUUAAAGACCAGCUUGGGUCUUCUUUUAAUUUGGAGUCUCAGGACCAGCCCAGGCCACAUUCUGAGCUGGAACCAAAUUGGCGGGAAGCAGUUUGGAUGCCGAUCAAGGGGUGAAGGGUUCAGGAGCAGCUCCUCCAGCCUGGGACCCCGAGAUGACUGGAGGCUCCUGUGGGAGACUGGGGUGGCUAGUCCCCCAGACCUAUCCCCAACGGAGAUGGCAGCACAGAGGGGUGGCCAACGUCCUGAGGCCAGACUGCCUGGGUUCAAUCCUGGCUCUCCCAUUUCCUAGCUGUGUGGCUUCAAGGAAGUUACCUGCCCUCUGUGAGUCUUUGUGUUCUUGGGUAAUAAUAAUACCUACAUCACAGGGCUGAGGUGAGGAUUACAUGAGAUCAUUCUCACAAAGCAGUCAGCCAGAGCCUGGCUCCCAGGGGGCACUGAAUAAUUGUUAGCUUAAAAAAAGAUAACUCCAGAGAGCAAAGGCUCUAGCACCUAGUGUCUGGGGUCUAAUCACUCAAUCCAUCUGAGCCUCAGUUUCCCUAGUUGUAAAAUGGAGAUGGUCAUCGUGUCUGGUAAUAAUAGCCAAGACUGAGGAGCACUGACUGCGAGAUUUGCAGGCUGUGUUCUAGUUGCCUAACUAUGUAUUAGCUUAAUAGUCUCUCCCCACCCUGAGCCACAUGUAGGGGCAGAGCAGGGGCCAGGGCAGCCUAGAAACUAAAAGUGUGCAGGGAAAAGCCCCAGAGAUUUGGUAGUUUCUGGGUGAAGCUAAACCAGUCCCCUUGCUUAGCAAAGGCAAGAACAGAGGGAAGUGGAUGGCUGGAGUGUGAGGCAUGGAGACCACAAAGGCCCACCCACCACUGUAAAUGAGCUGCCUGGGGCUGGACGCCCCUCAUACGUGGCGGAGUCACCUACACACCGUGGGGCCUUGAGCGAGUUGUGACCACCAUCCUGGACUUCGAUUUCCCUAGCUGUGUGAGGCGGACUUGGGUCUGUUCACCUCUCAGGCCCGCCACUGCUCUAAGGGGCUGUGAUUCUCUUGUUGCUUUGGUUUUCUUGGAAGGUUUCCAUGUAGGUAGUGACUUGGGCGGUAUCAUCUGCCCAUUGAUUUUUCCAGAAAGGAUGCUUUCUUCCCUCCCAUUCUGCACUCAGCCCACAGAUGAGUGACCUCUUGCCUAGCUUUCCCAUUUCUCCUCCUGUCCCUGCUAGUAACUCACCUGGUCUAGGCUCAGGGACCGAGAGGGCCCAGCCCAGUAGCAGCUCCCCAGAGGCCCCCAGAGGGCACAAGAGCCCCAUAGACAACACACCCCAUCACCUGUGAGGAGCACCUGGGGUGGUGUCUACGGGGCUGGGGAGCCACAUCCAGCCCACACAUGGCUUUGUGAGCCCGAUUGCCACGGAGGCCCCCAGUGGCUCAUUCACUCUCCCUCCUCCCCUCAGCAGAAGCUUUGGGAUCCAACAGGUGUGGCUUCCUCCUUGCUCCGCUGUGUCUGCUGGGUGACUGUAGGCACCACACCUCCCUGAGCCUGUUUGCUCAUGGGGUGAAUCGUCCCACCUCACGGAGCACCUGAGGCUGGAAUGAUGGCAACAGCACUUGUGGCACUGAGAAGCGCAGUCACUGUGUGCCUGCAGCCCUCACUCGGGGGUGAUGUUAAUGUCCCUGUUCUACGGGUGAAAAGGCUGAGGCUUCAGGAGCUUAGGGAGCUUGCCGAAGGUCACAUUGCCCUCUGUCCUUCCUUAUUUUAUUUUAUUUAUUGAGAGGGAGUCGCUCUGUUGCCCAGACUGGAGUGCAGUGGCGCAAUCUCUGCUCACUGCAACCUCUGCCUCCCAGGUUCAAGUGAUUCUCCAGCCUCAGCCUUCCAAGUAGCUGGGAUUACAGGCACCUGCCACCAGAGAUAGGGUUUCACCAUGUUGGCCAGGCUGGUUUCGAACUCCUGACCUCAGGUGAUCCGCCCGCCUCAGCCUCCCAAAGUGCUGGGACUACAGGUAUGAGCCACUGCACCUGGCCCUUCCUUUCUUUUUCACACCCACCUACUACCAAGAAGGCACAGAGGCAGAUGAUGAUGCUGGGAGUCCAUCUGAGGCAGGACGGGUAAAGGAAGCCUAGAGAGCCCUAGGGGAGGAGGCUGGGGAGACACAAAACUUGUGAAGAAGUGGUUACCAUGCAUGUCUGUCAUCAUUUGCCCACAGAGGGAUAUACUGAUAAUGGGAAUAAUGGUCGUCAGGUGGGCAGGGGAAGGGGUACCCUGCACCAUCAUGUCUGCUGAGGAAGAUACAGUCGUGGUUCCCUCUUCCCAAGAUGUUUCUGCUCACCUUUGCUCAGGACAUGGGGUUGCUUAAGGGCAAUGUGUGGGUUCAGAUCCGGCCUCUGCACUCACCUGCCGUGUGAUCUCAGGCUAAUUAUUUAUUGCUCUGAGCCUUAGCGUCCACGCCUGUACAUGGGGAUGGUCAUCGUAUUCACAGUGUUGUGAGGAUGUUACGAGUGGACGCAGGUAAUGCACUUAGCACCAUGCCUAGCUGGCGGGAGAGCUCUAGGAAUGUUCUCUGUUGUCGGCCUCUUGAAUCAGCCUUGCCUCUCCUCAGCAUUCCCUCAGCACCUGCUGUAAGUCAGCGCCAAACCCAGGCAGCCUCCUCCUGUGCCCUGGGCUAAGCCGCCAGCCUCCAGGCCUGGGAGCUGAGCGUCUGGAUCUGCCGCGCAGGGGGAACAGCCUCUGAGAGUUGGUGUGUUGGCUCCCACUGCUGGCGUGACAGACAUCCUGAGGAAAUAUGUCACUUUACAAUAGUUUUCAAAGAAAUUUCUAGAAAGCUCUUUUAACCCUACGGGGGCCAUUCAUAGCCUGGACUUCCGUUAGGUCCUAGUCUCAGUUUUUUCUUGAUUUGCUGAGGUCCCGCCCUCUCCCGGGCCUCAGUUUCCUCAUCUGUAAAGCAGUAACUACCCAGCUCAGAGGGCUGCCCGUGUGAGAUGAAACUGCUCCUGUGAAACAUGCUUUGUAACCUUGAGAGCACUUUACAGAGCUUUCGGUUCUGUUUCUGGUCAUUCACCAGACGGCCGCAGGCAGAUGCCUGGGCAGGGUCAUACUGUGUGCCCAGGCUGGGUGUGCACAGCAGUGGGAUGCCAGCUUGGCUCUCAAGGGCUCCCUGAGUCGUGGCCUCACUAAAACCCUUGAACUUUGUAAUUUCUAGAGAAUGUGGAAGGCUUUACAGGCAGCCCUGCUCCUUCGCAGGGAAAUGCUGAUAAGCGUCUUGUCCUGGUCACUGGUUCAACCCACGUAUGUUUUUGGAGCAGCUCCUUGUGCUGGGCACUGGCCUGGCUGAUGAGGAUGAAGCUGAAGACCAGAGGUCAGCCUUGCCUUUGAGAGCUUGGCCUAGGAAGAGGGAUAUGGAAACUCACAUCCAAAACCCUGAUGACUGAGGUUCAGGGUGACGUGACACAGGGCCUGCACUUCUCAGAAGAGGCUCAGCCACAGGGCAGGAUCGCGUCUAAAUACAUACUGGCUUGUGUCCUGUGCUCAGAAUCCUUCAUCAUCUCCUCUUUUUGCCCAGGGAUAAAGUCGCAAAGCCUCUGUGGCCUGUACUGUCCUGCUCCAGCUGCAUCUCCAGCUUUCUCAUUUCACUUACAUUACCCUGCAGGCCCCUGUGCCCUUCCUGGAAAUCUACUUGUUCCCUCCUACCGCAGGGCCUUUGCCCAUGCCGUGCCCUCUGCCUGGAGCUCUCCUCCAACUUCACCAUGUGGUUACUUCCUACUUGUCUUUCAGGCCUCAGCUCAAAUGUCCUAGAUCCCCAAGGCUCAGGGUCCCUAUUGUACAUCUGCUGUGCUCCUGCCACACUUUCUUACUAAUUUGUAUCAUGGCUGUUAUCAGAUGAUUAUUUAUGUGAUGAUUCUUUUUCUAACAGCUCCAUGGCACCAUAAACUUCAUGACCACAGGGACCCUUGGGAUCAAUGCUUGUCAUAAGGGCUCAGUCAAUGUUUGUUGAAUGAAUGAAUAAGUGUUAAGAGUUUGUGGAGGAGGUGGCAUUUGAGUAAGACUUGAAAGAGGAUAUAAUUUCAAUCUGUAGGGAAGAGGGAACGGCAUUCCUGCUGCAGGGAGCAGACAGGCACAGGACAGGAAGCCAACUUGUCUAGUUAGACAGAGAGGCAGAAUGAGACCUGGGAGAGAAGGUUUGGAGAAGCAAGCGGAGCCAGAUAGAGCAUUGUAUUCCAGGCUGAUAGGAAUAAACUUGAAUGGUGAAGCCGCUCAGGACCCACUGACAGACUUCUGAGCCAGGGGGAGCAAAGUUAAAACCGGCUUUGGAUAACUGUAAUGAAUCCGCCACAGGGAUGGGUGGGCAGGGAAAAGUGGCUCCAGUCGAGGACCAGUUAAGAGUUGGAGAAUUCACGGCUCCUGCUGCUUUCUGCUCCCCUGGAAUCAAACGUGAUUUUGCAAUUAUCCCCGAGAGCUCGCAGGGAGAUGCAGGGCAGUGAUGAGGAACCUCACACGGCGUGGCUGCUUCCAGAAGACAAUCGCCUUGGCAUCAGGGCAGCUAUCCCCGAGUCACUAGAGGGAGAGACGGAGUUGAUUAAGCAUCGGCAUCUGCGUUUCUUGGCUUCUCCUAUUGAGAAGGCAGCAUCCAGCUCUGCAUCCCUGCACCUGUGUCCUGGUGCCUUCUAUUAAUAAGUGGCCCAGGAAUCUUGACGCUGAAGGACCAACCUGUGGCAGAAGAUGAGCAGAAACAUUUCUGUCAAAUGCCCAGCAAACAAGACUCCACGCCUCCGUGGGGAGCCAGCACAUAAGAGUCAGGACUCUUGAGGACCUGAGGACAAAUCCCAGCACCACCACUUAGCAGCUGUGCACCUUCGAGCAUCUUCUAAGUGACUCUGGGCCUCCAUUUCUUCACUUGUGAAAAUGGAGGCUGCCCUGGUGUUGUGAAGGUUAAGGUUAAGUGACAUAUAUGGAUCCCCAAGCACAGGGAACACUGGAGGCUCAGGAAGUAGUGGCCGUUAUCAUGGCUGCGUUUUUCUCCAUGGUUUGAAUUCUUAGCAGGAAGCUUCGGUUUCAGGCUUAAAAAUGAAGAGCAUGUCAACAAAACAGGAUGGAACAAAGUCUUUUCCCAGCAUGCCUCAGCAUGUGGCACUGCCUUCCCGUGGAGCCCAGACAAUGAUGUGGCUAAAAGUCUUGAGCUUUCAGGCAGAAAUAAUCCCAAAGGAAAGGAACUUCCUUAUUGUCAUCUUAUAACAAAGCAACGCAGGGGCCCUGUAGCCUGUCAGAUUCAGCUCUGCCCCCUCCGAGCUGCUCUGUGCCUCAGUUUCCUCAUCUGCAAAAUGAGGCGAGAACAGUACCCACUUUAUAGGGUUGUUGUAAGGAUUAAGCAAGUUACUGCAGGAAAAGCGCUUAGAGCAUGCCUUUGUCACUGCGACUCUUAGAUCAUUUCAUAUUCAGGUUAACUCUUUGUAGUGCCCUGAGUGACUCUGUGGGGGCUUUGGAGCCAGAAGACUGAGUUCAAAUCACAGCCUCUUCCUAGCUGUGUGACCUGGGCAAGUCUCUUAACCUCUGUGUGCACCCAUUUCCUGCUCUGUACAAUGAAGAUGACAAUCCCUGCCUCAUGGGUUUGUUGUGAGGAGUGAAUGGGAUCACUCAGGUAAGGGCGCCGACUCCCCUGAGGCAGGCAGCUCACCUGGCCCCUCCCAGCCCAAUUUACAGCUGAAGAAAUUGGAUGAUUUAAAGACACACACUGGUGAGACCAGGCUGGCGCCAGCUCAGUGACUGGCCCGAUGAGAGUCCAGCCACUGGGGACAGUGAGUGCCGGGCAGGUGGGGGUGAUCUGUGCGCUCAGGUUGCACGGGCUUCCCGUUUCUUGGCCUAUCCUCAGGUGUUAGCUCUCUGCUCACCUGUGGGGAAGAUGUGUAAGUCGAUUCACAGCAGCUGCUGCUUGUUGGGCAGACCGUGGUCUUCCAGGCAUGGGGUCCGAGAGUCUGAGGCCCCCCGACCUGCCCGAGCUGCCCAGUGUCCAGGGCUUAAUAUAUGACUGCUGGAGGGGCUGGCGCUGCCCAUGCCGUCCUCUUACAUUCUUUCCCUAUCGGCCUGCAGACUUUUGGUCCUACUGACUGUCUAGGUCCAUCUCUGUCUUUCCAGUGUUUGCUGAGUGCUGGGAAGCUUGGUGGUUAAGAGUGCAGCCUCUGAAAACCUGGGUUCAAAUACCAGCUCAGCCUCUUCCAAACUGUGUGACUUGGGAUAAGUUAAACUCUUUGCACCUCAGUGGCCCCAUCUGUAAAAUAGGGGUGAUAACAGUACCAAACUCAUUAGACUGCUGCAAAUAAGAAGAACUGGGAUGAUAAAGGGAAAUCUGCAUAGUGCCUGGUUCAUAGUAAGCCUGGAUUCCUCUGGGCUGUA
Molecule: long non-coding RNA, 10721 nt
Filed under: Homo sapiens (human)
Lineage: Eukaryota; Metazoa; Chordata; Mammalia; Primates; Hominidae
Description: non-protein coding lnc-NFAM1-4:1
Source: RNAcentral